This is a non-coding RNA of Methanospirillum hungatei JF-1, 110 nucleotides long. Lineage: Archaea; Methanobacteriati; Methanobacteriota; Methanomicrobia; Methanomicrobiales; Methanospirillaceae. The record is from Rfam.
CACCCAAUCCAUUCUGGGCGUCCCUACCUGCACGUGCGUGUUUAGCAAUAAACGGGUGCGAAGCUGCAGGAACAACGUGGUGAUUCCCAUAGUCUCUUUGGGAUAAGCUG